GGGGCGGACGGAGACCAAUUAAAGACACGCAGGCGGCGAGAGAGAAGAAAGGUCACAUUGGAUUCUUCUUUAGAAAGAAAAAAGGAAACUAACGUCACUUUCUAACCUUCAAUACUCUUUCACAUGGCAUGAACACAACCUACACCUAUAAACCUUUCAACACACUAAACCAUAAAGAUAAUAUCACCUUUCCAUUUCAACUAAUUUUCUCCAUCUUCUCCAUUUUUUUAUCACUUCCACCAUGUGAAAAACACACUUCAACAUCUUCUUCAACAUCAACACCACUUUCUUAUAACCUUUUUCUCUUAAUACUAUAACCAUGUAACCUCCAAACAUACUUAUCUCAUUAAUCUCUCAUAACACCUACCACAUAUCAUCUCCGGUCUCUCAAAAAAAAUUGGAACCAAAGUCUCCACCUUUCUUCUUUACUACAACACUAUCAACUCCAUAAAACUCACCUUCAAAAUACCAUAACAUUAUCUUCCUCUUCAUUCAACCAUUUUUUGUCCAAGCUUCACAUUGCUACAACAAUAUUCACAUCACAACAACUUAACAAAUUUUAAAACUUUCAUCUCACCAUUAUAACCAUUAUAACCUUCAUAAACAUAUUUCACACCACCAUAAUAACCUCUCUUCAUCUACUCAACCAUAAAACUUCACUACCACUUACCAUGUUGCUCCAUAAAAAAAUCUAUCACAUGCUUCAUAAACCAUAACUCCAAUAACUAAAUAAAUCAAACUGAAAAUAGAAGAAUAAAUGGAUUGGAAACACCACACCUCGAUGAAUCCGGCCGAGCAACACUCCACCGCCGUUCCUCAUACAUGUCGGUAAUCGUCUUUUUUUUUCUUUCUUUUGCACAUUUUCCUUCAUGAUUUUACUUGUUGAUUUGUGAUUUUAUUAUGGGCAAAGAUGUGAAGAGAUGGAAGUGUAUUAUGAAAUAUUUGUUUGUUUAUUUGACACCAUUUGAAUUUAUUUGAGAGAGGAAGAGAAAUGUGAGGAAACAAUGGGGAAAAUAUGUGUUUGUUUUACUCUCGGUAGCAGGGAGAUGAGAGAGAUGAAGAGUUUUGUUCUCUUUUAAUUUUUGUAGAAAAAUGGGAGAAGGAGAUUUUGUGUUGUCUUAUUCUAUGACACAUGUCGAUUUUGGAUAGGACCAUUUUAAAUUUGGAAAAGCCAUGCUCCAAGCAGCAGCAACCCCACACUCUUGUCACUGUUUUUUUCUCUCUUUAUUUUUUGUUUAAUUUUAUUUUUUUAAUUAAUUUUAAUUAUCUAUUAUUAUUAUUAUAACUAGGACACUUAUUUAUUUUCU
This 1307-nucleotide long non-coding RNA is filed under the name Lathyrus oleraceus (garden pea). RNAcentral's name for it is "Pisum sativum (pea) long non-coding RNA (PSAT_LNC018698)". Lineage: Eukaryota; Viridiplantae; Streptophyta; Magnoliopsida; Fabales; Fabaceae. The record is from RNAcentral.